AGCGUACACGGUGGAUGCCCUGGCAGUCAGAGGCGAUGAAGGACGUGCUAAUCUGCGAAAAGCGCCGGUAAGGUGAUAUGAACCGUUAUAACCGGCGAUGUCCGAAUGGGGAAACCCGGUGCACUUCGGUGCAUCAUCGUUAGCUGAAUACAUAGGCUAACGAGGCGAACCGGGGGAACUGAAACAUCUAAGUACCCCGAGGAAAAGAAAUCAACCGAGAUUCCCCCAGUAGCGGCGAGCGAACGGGGAACAGCCCAGAGCCUGAAUCAGCUUGUGUGUCAGUGGAACGGUCUGGAAAGGCCGGCGAUACAGGGUGACAGCCCCGUACACGAAGGCACACAGGCUGUGAGCUCGAUGAGUAGGGCGGGACACGUGAUAUCCUGUCUGAAGAUGGGGGGACCAUCCUCCAAGGCUAAAUACUCCUGACUGACCGAUAGUGAACCAGUACCGUGAGGGAAAGGCGAAAAGAACCCCGGCGAGGGGAGUGAAACAGAACCUGAAACCGUGUACGUACAAGCAGUGGGAGCCUUCGUAAGAGGGUGACUGCGUACCUUUUGUAUAAUGGGUCAGCGACUUAUAUUCUGUAGCAAGGUUAACCGUAUAGGGGAGCCGAAGGGAAACCGAGUCUUAACCGGGCGUUAAGUUGCAGGGUAUAGACCCGAAACCCGGUGAUCUAGCCAUGGGCAGGUUGAAGGUUGGGUAACACUAACUGGAGGACCGAACCGACUAAUGUUGAAAAAUUAGCGGAUGACCUGUGGCUGGGGGUGAAAGGCCAAUCAAACCGGGAGAUAGCUGGUUCUCCCCGAAAGCUAUUUAGGUAGCGCCUCGUGAAUUCAUCUCCGGGGGUAGAGCACUGUUUCGGCUAGGGGGCCAUCCCGGCUUACCAACCCGAUGCAAACUGCGAAUACCGGAGAAUGUUAUCACGGGAGACACACGGCGGGUGCUAACGUCCGUCGUGAAGAGGGAAACAACCCAGACCGCCAGCUAAGGUCCCAAAGUCAUGGUUAAGUGGGAAACGAUGUGGGAAGGCCCAGACAGCCAGGAUGUUGGCUUAGAAGCAGCCAUCAUUUAAAGAAAGCGUAAUAGCUCACUGGUCGAGUCGGCCUGCGCGGAAGAUGUAACGGGGCUAAACCAUGCACCGAAGCUGCGGCAGCGACACGUAUGUGUUGUUGGGUAGGGGAGCGUUCUGUAAGCCUGUGAAGGUGUGCUGUGAGGCAUGCUGGAGGUAUCAGAAGUGCGAAUGCUGACAUAAGUAACGAUAAAGCGGGUGAAAAGCCCGCUCGCCGGAAGACCAAGGGUUCCUGUCCAACGUUAAUCGGGGCAGGGUGAGUCGACCCCUAAGGCGAGGCCGAAAGGCGUAGUCGAUGGGAAACAGGUUAAUAUUCCUGUACUUGGUGUUACUGCGAAGGGGGGACGGAGAAGGCUAUGUCGGCCGGGCGACGGUUGUCCCGGUUUAAGCGUGUAGGCUGACUUUCCAGGCAAAUCCGGAAGGUUAAGGCUGAGGCGUGAUGACGAGGCACCACGGUGCUGAAGUGACAAAUGCCCUGCUUCCAGGAAAAGCCUCUAAGCAUCAGGUAACAUCAAAUCGUACCCCAAACCGACACAGGUGGUCAGGUAGAGAAUACCAAGGCGCUUGAGAGAACUCGGGUGAAGGAACUAGGCAAAAUGGUGCCGUAACUUCGGGAGAAGGCACGCUGACAUGUAGGUGAAGCCCCUGCGGGUGGAGCUGAAGUCAGUCGAAGAUACCAGCUGGCUGCAACUGUUUAUUAAAAACACAGCACUGUGCAAACACGAAAGUGGACGUAUACGGUGUGACGCCUGCCCGGUGCCGGAAGGUUAAUUGAUGGGGUUAUCGCAAGAGAAGCUCCUGAUCGAAGCCCCGGUAAACGGCGGCCGUAACUAUAACGGUCCUAAGGUAGCGAAAUUCCUUGUCGGGUAAGUUCCGACCUGCACGAAUGGCGUAAUGAUGGCCAGGCUGUCUCCACCCGAGACUCAGUGAAAUUGAACUCGCUGUGAAGAUGCAGUGUACCCGCGGCAAGACGGAAAGACCCCGUGAACCUUUACUACAGCUUGACACUGAACAUUGAGCCUUGAUGUGUAGGAUAGGUGGGAGGCUUUGAAGCGUGGACGCCAGUCUGCGUGGAGCCGACCUUGAAAUACCACCCUUUAAUGUUUGAUGUUCUAACCUGGCGCCAUAAUCUGGCGUGGGGACAGUGUCUGGUGGGUAGUUUGACUGGGGCGGUCUCCUCCCAAAGUGUAACGGAGGAGCACGAAGGUCAGCUAAUCCUGGUCGGACAUCAGGAGGUUAGUGCAAUGGCAUAAGCUGGCUUGACUGCGAGAGUGACGGCUCGAGCAGGUGCGAAAGCAGGUCAUAGUGAUCCGGUGGUUCUGUAUGGAAGGGCCAUCGCUCAACGGAUAAAAGGUACUCCGGGGAUAACAGGCUGAUACCGCCCAAGAGUUCAUAUCGACGGCGGUGUUUGGCACCUCGAUGUCGGCUCAUCACAUCCUGGGGCUGAAGUAGGUCCCAAGGGUAUGGCUGUUCGCCAUUUAAAGUGGUACGCGAGCUGGGUUUAGAACGUCGUGAGACAGUUCGGUCCCUAUCUGCCGUGGGCGCUGGAGAAUUGAGGGGGGCUGCUCCCAGUACGAGAGGACCGGAGUGGACGCAUCACUGGUGUUCGGGUUGUCAUGCCAAUGGCACUGCCCGGUAGCUAAAUGCGGAAGAGAUAAGUGCUGAAAGCAUCUAAGCACGAAACUUGCCCCGAGAUGAGUUCU
RNAcentral lists this ribosomal RNA (2772 nucleotides) under Cronobacter sakazakii ATCC BAA-894. RNAcentral describes it as "bacterial LSU rRNA". It matches the Rfam family "Bacterial large subunit ribosomal RNA". Lineage: Bacteria; Pseudomonadati; Pseudomonadota; Gammaproteobacteria; Enterobacterales; Enterobacteriaceae. The record is from RNAcentral.